RNAcentral lists this ribosomal RNA (478 nucleotides) under uncultured bacterium. RNAcentral describes it as "partial 16S ribosomal RNA". It matches the Rfam family "Bacterial small subunit ribosomal RNA", at positions 30 to 523 of the family's 1533-position model. The record is from RNAcentral.
AGCGAACGCUGGCGGCAGGCUUAACACAUGCAAGUCGAACGGUAAGGCCCUUCGGGGUACACGAGUGGCGAACGGGUGAGUAACACGUGGGUGAUCUGCCCCGCACUUCGGGAUAAGCCUGGGAAACUGGGUCUAAUACCGGAUAGGACCACUGCCUGCAUGGGUGGUGGUGGAAAGCUUUUGCGGUGUGGGAUGGGCCCGCGGCCUAUCAGCUUGUUGGUGGGGUGAUGGCCUACCAAGGCGACGACGGGUAGCCGGCCUGAGAGGGUGACCGGCCACACUGGGACUGAGAUACGGCCCAGACUCCUACGGGAGGCAGCAGUGGGGAAUAUUGCACAAUGGGCGCAAGCCUGAUGCAGCGACGCCGCGUGAGGGAUGACGGCCUUCGGGUUGUAAACCUCUUUCAGCACCGACGAAGCGCAAGUGACGGUAGGUGCAGAAGAAGGACCGGCCAACUACGUGCCAGCAGCCGCAGUAA